This 1795-nucleotide long non-coding RNA is filed under the name Gossypium barbadense (sea-island cotton). Its description in RNAcentral is "long non-coding RNA (GBAR_LNC021020)". The record is from RNAcentral. Lineage: Eukaryota; Viridiplantae; Streptophyta; Magnoliopsida; Malvales; Malvaceae.
AAAAUAAAAAUUAAAAUAUUUAUGUAACGCCCAAAUUUUGAACUCUUGGUUUAUUAAAUUCUAUCAUAAAUUAAGUAUCUAUUUUAGUGGUUUAGAGCUUUAAUUGUGUGCUUGAGAUUUGAGAUUUAAGUCCCAUUUUUGAAAAAUUUUGCUAUUUGUUUUGUCUAAACCUUUAUCCAAUAAGGAAAUAUAUUUUUAUACUACUCCGUAAAAUUAGUUUAUUUAAAUUAUUUAAAUUGUUUUUCUUUUUCCCUCUUCCAUUUUACAAUUUUUUCUUCUUUUAUCUUUCUUCUUAUCGUUUCUUUUUCUUCUUUGUUUACCUUUUUCUUUUAUUUCCUACCGCUAAUUUUUGCUGUUGUUCUGUCGGGGGAAUUGCGUAUUUCAUUGUUUUCAGCUAAAAGGUUAACCGCAUAAGUUCUGUUGUUGAAUUUCUAUUAACGCUCGCUCUUGUUUGUUAUUUUUCAAAAUUGUUUUUUUUUUUGUUGGUUUUGUUCGAUUUAUCUGUUUAAGUGUUCAUUUGACUUUCUUUAGGCAAAGAUCUUGAGGAUAACGUUCCUACAACGAAUUAGAUCUGUGUAUUAUUGUUACGUACAAGGGUGAGUGUCUGAUUUUCAAGUUGGGGUUUUGUGUCGAAGUUAUUCGAUGUAGUUCGGUGUUAGAUGUGAAUUUAACGUUUUGGUUGUGAAUAAAUCAUUUGAUUGGACAAUUGGUUGUCAUUUUUAGGUUCCAGAAUCGUCAGUGUUUCUCUUACAUUAAAAUCGUAUCAGGUGUGUAACGAAAACUAGAGAAAUCAAUGAUCGGUGAAAGCCGAAAUUGGGGUUGUUGACACUACACGACCUUGUGACAGGCUGUGUGUCAAACCGUGUAACUCUUUGUCUUAAGUCACAUGGGUGCGUGCUAAGCCGUGUCCCAAACAGUGUAACUCUCUGACUUGAGUCACACGGGCGUAUGUCAGGCCAUGUGUCUGACCGUGUAACUCUCUGACUUGAGUCACACGGUCGUGUGCUAGGCCAUAUGACAAACCGUGUAAGGCAUUGACAUGAGCCACAUAGUCAUGUUCUAGGCCAUGUGAGCCGCAUGGGCCAACCUAGUAGGCCAUGUGAAUCCACACGGGCAUGUGGGCCAAAUUUCUAAAAUAAAGCCCUAGAGCCGUAAAUAUUGUUCGGAUCAAAGGUAGGCCUUUCGUAGGGUCCGUAUGAUUUGAAUUAAGCUAUAAAACUUGAUAUACGAUGAUUUGUUAUUGUAUAAUAUGUUAUCUAUACAUAUGUCUGAUACAAUAUCUGUUGAGUAAAAUAUGGUUUGUAUUGUUUGGAUAUAAUUUGAAUUUGUAUCACUGCAUAUACGACUUUGAUAUUUGUUAGUUCUACAUUUGCAUUGGGGUGGGAUUUGUGUUAAAAGGAGGAAGUGUGAACAGUUAAUCAUCUACUAAUUUUGGUGGCUAAGCCACAUAUAUAUAUAUGAUUCUGGUGACUUAUCGCACUUUGAACUGGCAGCUAGUAUACAAUUAUUCUGAAAUGUGAUUUACAGUCACUAUGCGGUGUGUAGGGAUAGAAGGGUACUUGAUACCCUAUCUGGUGUGAAUGAGUGGACGGGGAUGGUGUGUAGCGGUUGAGGGUAGGACUUUGAAUCUGUAUCUAAUAUGCUCUACAUCUGAAUCUGUAUCUGAUAUACUUUGCUUCUGUUUCUGAUUAUGAAAACUGUUUGAAUAUAGAAAAUCGGAAAGUAUGUCUGAUAUUGCUCCGAAUAAUUGAUUAUAUAUGUUACACACUAAGCUUAUUUCUCAUUUUGUCUGCUU